GGAAUAUUGGUCAACGGGCGCAAGCCUGAACCAGCCAUGCCGCGUGCAGGAAGACGGUCCUAUGGAUUGUAAACUGCUUUUAUACAGGAAGAAACCUCCCUACGUGUAGGGACUUGACGGUACUGUAGGAAUAAGGAACGGCUAACCCCCUGCCAGCAGCCGCGGUAAUACGGACGAUCCAAGCGUUAUCCGGAAUCAUUGGGUUUAAAGGGUCCGUAGGCGGCCUUAUAGGUCAGUGGUGAAAUCUCCUAGCUCAACUAGGAAACUGCCAUUGAUACUGUAGGGCUUGAGUUUUUGUGAAGUAACUAGAAUAUGUAGUGUAGCGGUGAAAUGCUUAGAUAUUACAUGGAAUACCAAGUGCGAAGGCAGGUUACUAACAAACGAUUGACGCUGAUGGACGAAAGCGUGGGGAGCGAAC
RNAcentral lists this ribosomal RNA (418 nucleotides) under uncultured bacterium. RNAcentral's name for it is "bacterial SSU rRNA". It matches the Rfam family "Bacterial small subunit ribosomal RNA", at positions 358 to 773 of the family's 1533-position model. The record is from RNAcentral.